This is a non-coding RNA of Mycena latifolia, 92 nucleotides long. The record is from the annotation of a GenBank genome assembly. NCBI's taxonomy places the organism in Eukaryota, Fungi, Basidiomycota, Agaricomycetes, Agaricales, Mycenaceae.
GGCUCAGUGGCGAAGUGGUAUCGCAUCCAUGCAGCUUUUGAUAUCCUUCAAGCUUUCAGCGGAAGGCACCCGUUCGAUCCGGGUCUGGGCCA